UACGAAGGGGGCUAGCGUUGCUCGGAAUCACUGGGCGUAAAGGGUGCGUAGGCGGGUCUUUAAGUCAGGGGUGAAAUCCUGGAGCUCAACUCCAGAACUGCCUUUGAUACUGGGGAUCUCGAGUCCGGGAGAGGUGAGUGGAACUCCGAGUGUAGAGGUGAAAUUCGUAGAUAUUCGGAAGAACACCAGUGGCGAAGGCGGCUCACUGGCCCGGUACUGACGCUGAGGUGCGAAAGCGUGGGGAGCAAACAGG
RNAcentral lists this ribosomal RNA (253 nucleotides) under uncultured bacterium. Its description in RNAcentral is "partial 16S ribosomal RNA". It matches the Rfam family "Bacterial small subunit ribosomal RNA", at positions 524 to 776 of the family's 1533-position model. The record is from RNAcentral.